Molecule: ribosomal RNA, 459 nt
Filed under: uncultured Latescibacterota bacterium
Lineage: Bacteria; Pseudomonadati; Candidatus Latescibacterota
Description: bacterial SSU rRNA
Rfam family: Bacterial small subunit ribosomal RNA
Source: RNAcentral
GGGCUGCAGUCGAGAAGCUUCCGCAAUGGGCGAAAGCCUGACGGAGCGACGCCGCGUGAGUGAAGAAGGCCCUAUGGGUUGUAAAACUCUGUCAGAUCGGGAAGAAAAUUCCGCGGUUAACACCCGCGGAACUUGACGGUACCAUCAGAGGAAGCACCGGCUAACUCCGUGCCAGCAGCCGCGGUAAUACGGAGGGUGCAAGCGUUGUUCGGAUUCACUGGGUAUAAAGGGUGCGCAGGCGGCCUGGUAAGUCAGAGGUGAAAUAUGACGGCUCAACCGUCAAACUGCCUCUGAAACUGCCUGGCUUGAGUCCGGGAGAGGAAGGUGGAAUUCCAGGUGUAGCGGUGAAAUGCGUAAAUAUCUGGAGGAACACCGGUGGCGAAGGCGGCCUUCUGGCCCGGAACUGACGCUCAUGCACGAAAGCCAGGGGAGCGAACGGGAUUAGAUACCCCGGUAGUC